UACGAAGGGGGCUAGCGUUGCUCGGAAUCACUGGGCGUAAAGCGCACGUAGGCGGCUUUUUAAGUCAGGGGUGAAAUCCUGGAGCUCAACUCCAGAACUGCCUUUGAUACUGGGAAGCUUGAGUCCGGAAGAGGUGAGUGGAACUCCGAGUGUAGAGGUGAAAUUCGUAGAUAUUCGGAAGAACACCAGUGGCGAAGGCGACACACUGGCCCAUUACUGACGCUGAGGCUCGAAAGCGUGGGGAGCAAACAGG
This 253-nucleotide ribosomal RNA is filed under the name uncultured bacterium. Its description in RNAcentral is "partial 16S ribosomal RNA". It matches the Rfam family "Bacterial small subunit ribosomal RNA", at positions 524 to 776 of the family's 1533-position model. The record is from RNAcentral.